RNAcentral lists this ribosomal RNA (253 nucleotides) under uncultured bacterium. RNAcentral describes it as "partial 16S ribosomal RNA". It matches the Rfam family "Bacterial small subunit ribosomal RNA", at positions 524 to 776 of the family's 1533-position model. The record is from RNAcentral.
GACAGAGGGUGCAAACGUUGUCCGGAAUUAUUGGGCGUAAAGAGCUCGUAGGCGGCUUGUCACGUCGGGUGUGAAAGCCCGGGGCUUAACCCCGGGUCUGCAUUCGAUACGGGCAGGCUAGAGUGUGGUAGGGGAGAUCGGAAUUCCUGGUGUAGCGGUGAAAUGCGCAGAUAUCAGGAGGAACACCGGUGGCGAAGGCGGAUCUCUGGGCCAUUACUGACGCUGAGGAGCGAAAGCGUGGGGAGCGAACAGG